Molecule: long non-coding RNA, 660 nt
Organism: Mustela lutreola (European mink)
Lineage: Eukaryota; Metazoa; Chordata; Mammalia; Carnivora; Mustelidae
Exons: 2
Source: RefSeq, a predicted model, not a curated record
CGUCAGAGCCCGAGCGUCGUAAAAAGAGCCGCUUCCCAUGGAACCUGGAAGGGGCGGGGAAACUGGACGCCUGAGCAUGCGUAGUCCCUGCGUGUCCCAGCCACACACACCCCCAACCCCGUAAGGGGUUUGUGCACAGGAAGAUAGAGGAAGGCUUCGCAGACGCGAUGGCAUUGGAACCAACUGCCGAAAGAACAGUUUUCCAGGCUGUCAAUAGUGGGAUCGAUUCCUUCCUUUGCAGAGGAAAUGGAAUGUGCACAGGACAAUGUGCACAGGACGAGGCACAGAACAACACCUGCGAAGGAUCUCCCAAUAGUUUGAAGCGUCGCCAGUUUGGAAGGAAGGAUAUUAAGCAUUAAUACUUAAGGAUUUAAUUUGGAAGUCCAAUCUAGGGAAUGUUCUAGAGGCGGCGGUGAUCAAUCAGAAUGCCUGAAGGGCUCGCUAGUUUAAAAAAUGGUUGGGGUGGCCCACCUGGGUGGGCUCAGUGGGUUGAAGCCUCUGCCUUCGGCUCAGGUCAUGAUCCCAGGGUUUUGGGAUCGAGCCCCACAUUGGGCUCUCUGCUCAGGGGGAAGCCUGCUUCCUCCUCUCUCUCUGCCUGCCUCUCUGCCUACUUGUUAUCUCUGCCUGUCAAAUAAAUAAAUAAAUGAAUUUUUUAAAAAA